CGCGGGGUAUAUCAGUGGUAGAUGGCUGGGCUCACAACCCAGAGGUCGGCGGUUCAAAUCCGUCUCCCGCAACCA
Molecule: transfer RNA, 75 nt
Filed under: Methyloprofundus sp.
Lineage: Bacteria; Pseudomonadati; Pseudomonadota; Gammaproteobacteria; Methylococcales; Methylococcaceae
Description: tRNA-Val
Rfam family: tRNA
About the family: Transfer RNA (tRNA) molecules are approximately 80 nucleotides in length. Their secondary structure includes four short double-helical elements and three loops (D, anti-codon, and T loops).
Source: RNAcentral